RNAcentral lists this unclassified non-coding RNA (1386 nucleotides) under uncultured Neocallimastigales. RNAcentral describes it as "partial contains small subunit ribosomal RNA, internal transcribed spacer 1, 5.8S ribosomal RNA, internal transcribed spacer 2, and large subunit ribosomal RNA". The stretch from base 609 to 1386 matches the Rfam family "Eukaryotic large subunit ribosomal RNA", at positions 1 to 628 of the family's 3401-position model. The record is from RNAcentral. Lineage: Eukaryota; Fungi; Neocallimastigomycota; Neocallimastigomycetes; Neocallimastigales.
UUUCCGUAGGUGAACCUGCGGAAGGAUCAUUAAAAAAUGUGGUACCAUUUGUUGGUACUAAUUAAUCAUCCUACCCUUUGUGAAUUUGUUUGUAACGAAUUUUUUUAAAUGGGUCUUCCCUAAGUUGGAUUGUAGUAAAAUACAAAAAGACUUAGGGGAAUGACUUUUUUAAAAGACUUUUUUUUUAAUUAAAACUUUUUGUAUUCAUUUGUCUAAAAUUUAUUUUUAUAAUAUAAAACAACUUUUGACAAUGGAUCUCUUGGUUCUCGCAACGAUGAAGAACGCAGCAAAAUGCGAUAAGUAGUGUGAAUUGCAGAAUACGUGAAUCAUCGAAUCUUCGAACGCAUAUUGCACUUUUUUAGUUUACUAAAAAAGUAUGUCUGUUUGAGUAUCAGUAAAAUAUUCUCACAAACAAUAUUGUUUUUGUGGUUAUGAGUGUUUUACAACGAUAAACAAGUUGUUUCACUUUAAAUUCUUUUUAAUUGAAUUUUUACCAAUUCAUAAAUUAAAAUUGGAUAAAAUUUUCCUUUAACGAGGAAUAACCUAAACAAUUUUAAAUUUUAUGGAUUAAUAAACAUUCAUCAGAGGAAUCUAUACAACAAAUAACUUGAUCUCAAAUCAGAUAAGAGUACCGCUGAACUUAAGCAUAUCAAUAAGCGGAGGAAAAGAAACUAACAAGGAUUCCCUUAGUAACGGCGAGUGAAGCGGGAAGAGCUCAAAUUUGAAAUCUUCAAGGUUUGACCUUACGAAUUGUAGUUUAUAGAAGUGUUUUCUGUUGGAGUUUUGGUAAAAGUUCUUUGGAAUAGGACAUCAUAGAGGGUGAGAAUCCCGUAUUUGACCAUGACUUUCCAGCUGUGUGAUACACUUUCAAAGAGUCGGAUUGUUUGGGAAUGCAGUCCAAAAUGGGUGGUAAAUUUCAUCUAAAGCUAAAUAUUGGCGAGAGACCGAUAGCGAACAAGUACCGUGAGGGAAAGAUGAAAAGAACUUUGAAAAGAGAGUUAAACAGUACGUGAAAUUGUCAAAAGGGAAGCGUUUGACACCAGUGUUGUUUUCUCGAAAAUCAAUUUAAUGAGUUCUUGUUUUUAAGUUAUUGUGACUUUAUCAGCGCAUUUCUUAUUUUACUUGACUCAUUGAAUGCACUUUUCGUUUAACAAGUCAACAUCAAUUUCUUUGGUGGUAAAAAGUUUAAAGGAAGGUGGCUUGGACUUCGGUUCAAGUGUUUAUAGCCUUUUUCCUAUGCCAUCGGAGAGAUUGAGGUCUGCAGCGUAGAUCCUUCGGGGUUAGAUACCUUUGUGCUAAGUUAUAGUUUUUUAUAGACAACUUGUUGACUAUAAUUAGCCCUGUAAUUUACUCGCUUAGGCUAUUUUACCUACGCUUAGGAUGUUG